RNAcentral lists this ribosomal RNA (497 nucleotides) under uncultured bacterium. RNAcentral's name for it is "partial 16S ribosomal RNA". It matches the Rfam family "Bacterial small subunit ribosomal RNA", at positions 28 to 507 of the family's 1533-position model. The record is from RNAcentral.
GAUGAACGCUGGCGGCGUGCCUAAUACAUGCAAGUCGAGCGAACGGACGAGAAGCUUGCUUCUCUGAUGUUAGCGGCGGACGGGUGAGUAACACGUGGAUAACCUACCUAUAAGACUGGGAUAACUUCGGGAAACCGGAGCUAAUACCGGAUGAUAUUUUGAACCGCAUGGUUCAAAAGUGAAAGACGGUCUUGCUGUCACUUAUAGAUGGAUCCGCGCUGCAUUAGCUAGUUGGUAAGGUAACGGCUUACCAAGGCAACGAUGCAUAGCCGACCUGAGAGGGUGAUCGGCCACACUGGAACUUAGACCCGGUCCAGACUCCUACGGGAGGCAGCAGUAGGGAAUCUUCCGCAAUGGGCGAAAGCCUGACGGAGCAACGCCGCGUGAGUUAUGAAGGUCUUCGGAUCGUAAAACUCUGUUAUUAGGGAAGAACAUAUGUGUAAGUAACUGUGCACAUCUUGACGGUACCUAAUCAGAAAGCCACGGCUAACUACGUG